UAGAGGGGUGCUCGAAAGAGAGCCGUAACACAGGUGCUGCAUGGCUGUCGUCAGCUCGUGUCGUGAGAUGUUGGUUAAGUCCCGCAACGAGCGCAACCCUUGUCAUUAGUUGCUACAUUCAGUUGGGCACUCUAAUGAGACUGCCGGUGACAAGCCGGAGGAAGUGGGGAUGACGUCAAGUCCUCAUGGCCCUUAUAGGUGGGGCUACACACGUCAUACAAUGGCUGGUACAAAGGGUUGCCAACCCGCGAGGGGGAGCCAAUCCCAUAAAGCCAGUCGUAGUCCGGAUCGUAGUCUGCAACUCGACUACGUGAAGUCGGAAUCGCUAGUAAUCGUGGAUCAGAAUGUCACGGUGAAUACGUUCCCGGGUCUU
RNAcentral lists this ribosomal RNA (373 nucleotides) under uncultured Rhodoferax sp. RNAcentral describes it as "bacterial SSU rRNA". It matches the Rfam family "Bacterial small subunit ribosomal RNA", at positions 1005 to 1382 of the family's 1533-position model. The record is from RNAcentral. Lineage: Bacteria; Pseudomonadati; Pseudomonadota; Betaproteobacteria; Burkholderiales; Comamonadaceae.